UGCUCUUGCUCCUCAGGUGGGUACCCAGU
RNAcentral lists this non-coding RNA (29 nucleotides) under Mus musculus (house mouse). Lineage: Eukaryota; Metazoa; Chordata; Mammalia; Rodentia; Muridae. The record is from RNAcentral.